AGUGAACGCUGGCGGUAGGCCUAACACAUGCAAGUCGAACGGCAGCACAGUAAGAGCUUGCUCUUACGGGUGGCGAGUGGCGGACGGGUGAGGAAUACAUCGGAAUCUACUUUUUCGUGGGGGAUAACGUAGGGAAACUUACGCUAAUACCGCAUACGACCUACGGGUGAAAGCAGGGGAUCUUCGGACCUUGCGCGAUUGAAUGAGCCGAUGUCGGAUUAGCUAGUUGGCGGGGUAAAGGCCCACCAAGGCGACGAUCCGUAGCUGGUCUGAGAGGAUGAUCAGCCACACUGGAACUGAGACACGGUCCAGACUCCUACGGGAGGCAGCAGUGGGGAAUAUUGGACAAUGGGCGCAAGCCUGAUCCAGCCAUACCGCGUGGGUGAAGAAGGCCUUCGGGUUGUAAAGCCCUUCUGUUGGGAAAGAAAAGCAGCAGGUUAAUACCCCGCUGUUCUGGCGGUACCCAAAGAAUAAGCACCGGCUAACUUCGUG
RNAcentral lists this ribosomal RNA (492 nucleotides) under uncultured bacterium. Its description in RNAcentral is "partial 16S ribosomal RNA". It matches the Rfam family "Bacterial small subunit ribosomal RNA", at positions 29 to 507 of the family's 1533-position model. The record is from RNAcentral.